GGUGAGUAACACCUAUCCAACCUGCCGUCUCCUCUUGGACUGCCUUCUGAAAGGAAGAUUAAUGCCCCAUGGUUUCGAGGGAUUGCAUGGCAACUUGAAUAAAGAUUCAUCGGUAUGCUAGGGAUAUGCGCUCCAUUAGGCAGUUGGCGGGCUCACGGCCCACCAAACCGACGAUGGAUAGGCGUUCUGAGAGGAAGGUCCCCCACAUUUGAACUGAUACACUGUCCCUUCUCCUACGGGAGGCAGCAGUGAUGAAUAUUGGUCACUGUUCGAGAGCCUGAACCAGCCAAGUAGCGUGAAGGAUGACUGCCCUACUGGUUGUAAACUUCUUUUAUAAGGGAAUAAAGUUCUCUACGUGUAGAGUUUUGUAUGUACCUUAUGAAUAAGCAUCUGCUAACUCCGUGCCACCAGCCGCGGUAAUACGGAGGAUGCGAGCGUUAUCCGGAUUUAUUGGGUUUAAAGGGAGCGUAGACGGCCGUUUAAGUCAGCUGUGAAAUGGUGCGGCUCAACCGUAGCACUGCAGUUGAAACUGGACGGCUUGAGUGCAGUUGAGGCAGGCGGAAUUCUUGGUGUACCGGUGAAAUGCUUAGAUAUCACGAAGAACCCCGAUUGCGAAGGCAGCCUGCUAAGGCUGCAACUGACGUUGAGGCUCGAAAGUGUGGGUAUCAAACAGGAUUAGAUACCCUGGUAGUCCACACGGUAAACGAUGGAAUACUCGCUGUUGGCGAUAUACAGUCAGCGGCCAAGUGAAAACGUUAAGUAUCCCACCUGGGGAGUACGCCGGCAACGGUGAAACUCAAAGGAAUUGACGGGGGCCCGCACAAGCGGAGGAACAUGUG
RNAcentral lists this ribosomal RNA (839 nucleotides) under uncultured organism. Its description in RNAcentral is "SSU rRNA". It matches the Rfam family "Bacterial small subunit ribosomal RNA", at positions 105 to 943 of the family's 1533-position model. The record is from RNAcentral.